RNAcentral lists this transfer RNA (72 nucleotides) under Cavia porcellus (domestic guinea pig). It matches the Rfam family "tRNA". From Rfam's summary of the family: Transfer RNA (tRNA) molecules are approximately 80 nucleotides in length. The record is from Rfam by way of RNAcentral. Lineage: Eukaryota; Metazoa; Chordata; Mammalia; Rodentia; Caviidae.
GAGGCUUUACUUCAGUGGUAGAGUACUUGUCUAGCAUGCAAGAGGCUCUGGGUUCAACCCCCAGUACCAUUU